UCCUGGUUUCCCAGGCAGUCUCGCCAGAGUGCUCAACUCACGUUGGUAGCAACUGACGACAAGGGUUGCGCUCGUUAAAGGACUUAACCCAACAUCUCACGACACGAGCUGACGACAGCCAUGCAGCACCUGUGCAUCUGUCUGGACCGAAGCCCAAAAGACCGUAUUUCUACGGCUGUCAAAUACAUGUCAAGCCUAGGUAAGGUUCCUCGCGUAGUAUCGAAUUAAACCACAUGUUCCACCGCUUGUGCGGACCCCCGUCAAUUUCUUUGAGUUUUAGUCUUGCGACCGUAAUCCCCAGGCGGAUCACUUAACGCGUUAGCUACGACACUAAUUCUGCAGAGCAGAACUAACGUCUAGUGAUCAUCGUUUACGGCGUGGACUAC
RNAcentral lists this unclassified non-coding RNA (386 nucleotides) under uncultured bacterium. RNAcentral's name for it is "contains 16S-23S intergenic spacer region". The record is from RNAcentral.